GACGAACGCUGGCGGCGUGCCUAAUACAUGCAAGUCGAACGAGUGGCGGACGGGUGAGUAAUGUCUGGGAAACUGCCUGAUGGAGGGGGAUAACUACUGGAAACGGUAGCUAAUACCGCAUACCAUCAGAUGUUCCCAGAGGGGAUUAGCAAGUAGUGGGGGUACCGGCUCACCUAGGCGACGAUCCCUAGCUGGUCUGAGAGGAUGACCAGCCACACUGGAACUGAGACACGGUCCAGACUCCUACGGGAGGCAGCAGUGGGGAAUAUUGCACAAUGGGCGCAAGCCUGAUGCAGCCAUGUCGCGUGUGUGAAGAAGGCCUUCGUGUUGUAAAGCACUUUCAGCGGGGAGGCGUUACCCGCAGAAGAAGCACCGGCUAACUCCGUGCCAGCAGCCGCGGUAAUUC
Molecule: ribosomal RNA, 406 nt
Filed under: uncultured bacterium
Lineage: Bacteria
Description: partial 16S ribosomal RNA
Rfam family: Bacterial small subunit ribosomal RNA
Source: RNAcentral